Molecule: long non-coding RNA, 116 nt
Organism: Lepidothrix coronata (blue-crowned manakin)
Lineage: Eukaryota; Metazoa; Chordata; Aves; Passeriformes; Pipridae
Exons: 3
Source: RefSeq, a predicted model, not a curated record
CUGGCCGUGGCACUCAGUGCUCUGGGCUGGGGCACAAGGUGGGCAUUGGGCACAAGGUGGACUCGAUGGUCUGGGAGAUCUUUUCCAGCCUGAAUGAUUCUGGGAUUCUGUGAUUC